GCGCGCGCGUCGGCAACGACGGCACGCUGUCGACGUUCACGCUGAAGGCGCGGCGCGUCGUCUGCGCGAUGCCGCUGUUCGUCGCGGCGCGCGUGUU
RNAcentral lists this transfer RNA (97 nucleotides) under Burkholderia contaminans. RNAcentral's name for it is "tRNA-Val". The record is from RNAcentral. Lineage: Bacteria; Pseudomonadati; Pseudomonadota; Betaproteobacteria; Burkholderiales; Burkholderiaceae.